Molecule: ribosomal RNA, 445 nt
Filed under: uncultured bacterium
Lineage: Bacteria
Description: partial 16S ribosomal RNA
Rfam family: Bacterial small subunit ribosomal RNA
Source: RNAcentral
GUGAGGAAUAUUGCGCAAUGGAGGCAACUCUGACGCAGCCAUGCCGCGUGCAGGAAGAAGGCGCUACGCGUUGUAAACUGCUUUUAACCGGGAAGAAACCCCAGGACGUGUCCUGGGUUGACGGUACCGGAGGAAUAAGCACCGGCUAACUUCGUGUCAGCAGCCGCGGUAAUACGAAGGGUGCAAGCGUUAUCCGGAUUCAUUGGGUUUAAAGGGUGCGUAGGCGGAGCGUUAAGUCAGUGGUGAAAUCCUGCAGCUUAACUGUAGACUUGCCAUUGAUACUGGCGCUCUUGAGUGCGCUUGAAGUGGGCGGAAUGUGCCGUGUAGCGGUGAAAUGCUUAGAUAUGGCACAGAACACCAAUUGCGAAGGCAGCUCACUAAGGCGAUACUGACGCUGAGGCACGAAAGCGUGGGGAUCGAACAGGAUUAGAUACCCUAGUAGUCC